This is a long non-coding RNA of Salarias fasciatus (jewelled blenny), 151 nucleotides long. RefSeq lists it as uncharacterized. The record is from RefSeq and is a predicted model, not a curated record. Lineage: Eukaryota; Metazoa; Chordata; Actinopteri; Blenniiformes; Blenniidae. The transcript is spliced from 3 exons.
GCACCACCUACACACACUAAAGUGGCCCGUAGAAAUGUCAUGGAGAGACCAAACCAAUGCUCACUUGUUCAUCUCAUCAAGACCUAAAAAUCACACACCGACACCCCUGACCUAACUCCAACAGGAAGUCUUCACUCUUGCCUUUCAAAAU